Molecule: ribosomal RNA, 1451 nt
Filed under: metagenome
Description: bacterial LSU rRNA
Rfam family: Bacterial large subunit ribosomal RNA
Source: RNAcentral
UGAGGGUGUGACGGAGAAGGAUAGUGUGUGCUAGCGAUUGGAAAUGCUAGUCUAAGCGUUUAGGGAGUUACAGUAGGCAAAUCCGCUGUAACAAUUCUGAGGCGUGAUGGGGAAGGUCAUUAAGACCGAAGUACAUGAUUCCAUGCUUCCAAGAAAAGCAUCUAGAGAGAGAAGUAGUGCCCGUACCGCAAACCGACACAGGUAGAUGAGGAGAGAAUCCUAAGGCCGGCGGAAGAAUUGCAGUUAAGGAACUAGGCAAAUUGACCCCGUAAGUUCGCGAGAAGGGGUGCCUGUGAGAGCAGGCCGCAGAGAAUAGGCCCAAGCAACUGUUUAGCAAAAACACAGGUCUCUGCUAAAGCGUAAGCUGAUGUAUAGGGGCUGACGCCUGCCCGGUGCUGGAAGGUUAAGGGGAACACUUAGCGCAAGCGAAGGUGUGAACUUAAGCCCCAGUAAACGGCGGCCGUAACCAUAACGGUCCUAAGGUAGCGAAAUUCCUUGUCAGGUAAGUUCUGACCCGCACGAAUGGCGUAAUGACUUGGGCACUGUCUCAACUGCAAAUCCGGCGAAGUUGUAGUGCGAGUGAAGAUGCUCGCUACCCGCGAUUGGACGGAAAGACCCCGUAGAGCUUUACUGUAGCUUGGCAUUGAAUUCCGGUAUUGUCUGUACAGGAUAGGUGGGAGACUGGGAAACUAGGGCGUCAGCCUUAGUGGAGUCAACCUUGGGAUACCACCCUGACAGUACUGGGGUUCUAACAGGACGCCAUGAAGCUGGUGACUGGACAUUGUUAGGUGGGCAGUUUGACUGGGGCGGUCGCCUCCUAAAAAGUAACGGAGGCGCCCAAAGGUUCCCUCAGAACGGUCGGAAAUCGUUCGUAGAGUGCAAAGGCAGAAGGGAGCCUGACUGCGAGACCCACAAGUCGAGCAGGGACGAAAGUCGGGCUUAGUGAUCCGGUGGUACCUCGUGGGAGGGCCAUCGCUCAACGGAUAAAAGCUACCUCGGGGAUAACAGGCUGAUCUCCCCCAAGAGUCCACAUCGACGGGGAGGUUUGGCACCUCGAUGUCGGCUCGUCGCAUCCUGGGGCUGUAGUAGGUCCCAAGGGUUGGGCUGUUCGCCCAUUAAAGCGGCACGCGAGCUGGGUUCAGAACGUCGUGAGACAGUUCGGUCCCUAUCCGUCGCGGGCGUAGGAAAUUUGAGAGGAGCUGUCCUUAGUACGAGAGGACCGGGAUGGACUGACCUCUGGUGCACCAGUUGUUCUGCCAAGAGCAUGGCUGGGUAGCUAAGUCGGGAAGGGAUAAACGCUGAAAGCAUCUAAGCGUGAAGCCCCCCUCAAGAUGAGAUUUCCCAUAGCAUAAGCUAGUAAGACCCCUUGAAGAACACAAGGUUGAUAGGUCAGAGGUGGAAGUGCGGUAACGUAUGUAGCUGACUGAUACUAAUAGGUCGAGGGCUUGACC